GUACUCCGAAUGCUCUAGAUUAGAGUUUGAUCAUGGCUCAGAUUGAACGCUGGCGGCAGGCCUAACACAUGCAAGUCGAGCGGAUGACGGGAGCUUGCUCCUUGAUUCAGCGGCGGACGGGUGAGUAAUGCCUAGGAAUCUGCCUGGUAGUGGGGGACAACGUUUCGAAAGGAACGCUAAUACCGCAUACGUCCUACGGGAGAAAGCAGGGGACCUUCGGGCCUUGCGCUAUCAGAUGAGCCUAGGUCGGAUUAGCUAGUUGGUGGGGUAAUGGCUCACCAAGGCGACGAUCCGUAACUGGUCUGAGAGGAUGAUCAGUCACACUGGGACUGAGACACGGUCCAGACUCCUACGGGAGGCAGCAGUGGGGAAUAUUGGACAAUGGGCGAAAGCCUGAUCCAGCCAUGCCGCGUGUGUGAAGAAGGUCUUCGGAUUGUAAAGCACUUUAAGUUGGGAGGAAGGGCAGUUAAGUUAAUACCUUGC
RNAcentral lists this ribosomal RNA (483 nucleotides) under uncultured bacterium. RNAcentral describes it as "bacterial SSU rRNA". It matches the Rfam family "Bacterial small subunit ribosomal RNA", at positions 1 to 468 of the family's 1533-position model. The record is from RNAcentral.